UGGUGUCCGCACGGGAGCCUGGUGGGCUGAGAGGGAGCACCGGCCGCGACGUCCGCGGCCCGACUCCGACCGUGGAACCUGAUCCGGAUCAUGCCGGCGCAGGGAGCGUGAAUCGUAUGCAU
This 122-nucleotide non-coding RNA is filed under the name Saccharomonospora sp. Its description in RNAcentral is "TPP sequence". It matches the Rfam family "TPP riboswitch aptamer (THI element)". From Rfam's summary of the family: Vitamin B(1) in its active form thiamin pyrophosphate (TPP) is an essential coenzyme that is synthesised by coupling of pyrimidine and thiazole moieties in bacteria. The previously detected thiamin-regulatory element, thi box was extended, resulting in a new, highly conserved RNA secondary structure, the THI element, which is widely distributed in eubacteria and also occurs in some archaea. The record is from RNAcentral. RNAcentral also lists the same sequence under 1 other name. Lineage: Bacteria; Bacillati; Actinomycetota; Actinomycetes; Pseudonocardiales; Pseudonocardiaceae.